RNAcentral lists this ribosomal RNA (251 nucleotides) under uncultured prokaryote. RNAcentral describes it as "partial 16S rRNA". It matches the Rfam family "Bacterial small subunit ribosomal RNA", at positions 525 to 775 of the family's 1533-position model. The record is from RNAcentral.
ACGUAGGGGGCAAGCGUUGUCCGGAAUGAUUGGGCGUAAAGGGCGCGUAGGCGGCCUGGUAAGUCUGGAGUGAAAGUCCUGCUUUUAAGGUGGGAAUUGCUUUGGAUACUGUCUGGCUUGAGUACAGUAGAGGUAAGUGGAAUUCCCGGUGUAGCGGUGAAAUGCUUAGAGAUCGCGUGGAACACCAGUGGCGAAGGCAGCUUACUGGACUAUAACUGACGCUGAGGCGCGAAGGUGUGGGGAUCAAACAG